UUUUCCUGUGUCAUGUAUUUAUACUCCAUUUUACAUAGUAUGGAAAAGAUGUUCCUUUAAUAGUACUGGAGAAAAAGACCACAUUAGAAACAUGCCAAAACCCUUCGUUUCAUUCAACAGAUGCAUUCACUGGAGAUGACAAGGAAACCAGCUGUGUCAAACAUGUUCCAAGAUUCUAAUCAGGGGAAAAGGAAGUUCACAUCUAUCUUCUAUGUUCUACACUUGAAAAAUGCCAGCAAUUCCACAAAACCCUCUAAGUCUGGGGCAAGAAGGAACCCCAAUGCUGGGAGAGGCCAGAGGACUUGCCCCUUUAACCCUCAUCUCGCCGUCACUGUAUGGUGACUUCAGUGCACUCUACAGGAUCUUGUCAGCUGUGUGUGAAAUUUGGUGCCUGAGAGGACACUGUAGUUCUGCGACCCCAGCAAGACCCCAAGGCAUGCAGAAGCAUCUGCCCAUCUGAAGGAGUAACACAGGCAGGUCUCUAACAAAUCAGUUGAGCAAAAUUCAAUAUAAAGUUCAGGUUAGAAGUAUUCUCCAACAUAACCUGUUCCCUUUGUACGCAAGCAUCUACAUACAUCUCCUGCAUAUUAGAUAGAGCCUAUAGCCUGAGCUUCCUUUCAGGGCAAAGGAUGUGGAUUUAUUUGCUCUCAGGUUGCUAGGAGACCUACUAUUUUCCAGCUGUACCCUCUCAGAUAAAAAGAGAUUACUACUUCCACACUUCAAAAACACAAGAUUUUUUUUCUUUUCACCAGGGCUCAGGUCUGGUCAGGGGGUGGUGAGCAUUCUCACGCUGCCAGACCCUCUGGGAGACAAAGUUACAAACUGACCCUGGUUUUGCACCAUUUGGAUAGGAACUACCUGCACAGGCAUCACCUUGCAUAUCUGUAUUUGCCAUGGCAUCUUUCAGAAAAACUAAUAACUACUAUUAAGAAAAGUAAUUCCUUGUAAAAAAUUGAAAGAUAUGGAAAAUCCGAAUUUUACCUGAGCAUUUCAACUUACCCAAAAGUCUGAAAGACAUAACCCCCCAAAAUUUAACGUUAUGAUUAGAAAAAACAUAGGAUGAAGCUCACUAAGUUACACCUUCUGGGUGAUUAGACUGUGCCAUAUUUUAAAUCUUUCAGUGUCAGUGGUCUGAAACAUAAGGUCAUAAAGGGCAUUUACUGUGACAGAGGGAAAGAGGAGUAUAAAGUCCUUUUCAUAUUUAUUCUUGAAUAAGUUUGUUCUCUCUGCUAGCUUUUCUGAUGCAUGGACAAAACCUGAAAGAGAAGCAUAUAAUCUAAAUUAUUUUACUGAUCUGGGCUGACUAUAGCAGCAAGCUUCGUAUCACCAAACUUCAGAAGUCUGUACCUUUACAGACUUUACAGACUUUGAAAAGUUUAGGCCAUUCUUCUGACACUGAGCAAACUUUCAAAUCAGUUUUGGUGCUGACAGUACCCACACACUAAAUAGAGUUUUCAUUUGCAUGCUUUUUCUCCUCACAGAAUGAGUUAGUUUGAGAGCUGUAAAUAUGGUUCUUUGCCUUUGUCCCAGACAGACACAUAUGAGAAAUGUACACUUUAACUUUCCCCAAACCAAUAUUUCCAUGUUCUUUACCUGCUUCCUUUGUUCUGUGUGCAUCAAUCAGUUGAAAAUUGUUCUAUGUCAAAGAAUUUGAAAGUAAAUUAACAUAAGAACUUUCAAUUAGAACUGGUUAUUUAAGCCUGAGAUAUGAGUGUGAAUUGUAUCUUGUUCCCUCCUUCCGGACAGAUUUUCAAGAACAAACUGAAUUUGGAUUACAUAGAAAUCUUCUUGGCAUCAUUGUUAUUUUUUUUUAGAGAUUAAAGAUUUGUUAGAAUGCAUUCUUUCCAUCCUCGCGUGAUUAUGUGCAUAUUGGCCAAUAUUUUUAAACAUGGCGUCCUUGGGCUGAACAUUUUUGAAUAUCUUUGAUUAGUAAAUACAUACUCUGGCUUUCAGACACCCUUGGCAACUCACAAAUAACCAUAAACCUGCAGUGCCUUUUUCACCAUAAGUAACUAAAUACCAGUAAUUAACUGUAAGAGAGCAGAAUUCAGUAGACAUAUUUUCUUUUGAAAUUUCCAGCUUGGCAGUAGAUUGUUACCUUGUGUGUCAUCCUGUUACUGUUAAACAGUUCUUCCAGACCUGAAUGUAUUGAAAUGGGUAAGAUAAAUUUUGUUGAACAGAGCUGUACAAAACCAAUCUGCUGUAGAGAAGAAUAUACAGCCAAAACACAAUUAUAUUAGUUUAGGGAAUUGAAUGAUGUGGCUUAGGUUCAGCAAUACUUUGGAAAACACAGAGCAAGAAAAAGGCAGUUACAAUGAUUUUUAUGAUUCAUUGAAAGAAUAUAUGGUACAAUAGUGACCUUUAAAUCUGGUGAAAA
Pipra filicauda (Wire-tailed manakin) is the source of this 2377-nucleotide long non-coding RNA. RefSeq lists it as uncharacterized. The transcript is spliced from 3 exons. NCBI's taxonomy places the organism in Eukaryota, Metazoa, Chordata, Aves, Passeriformes, Pipridae. The record is from RefSeq and is a predicted model, not a curated record.